Molecule: long non-coding RNA, 281 nt
Organism: Myotis daubentonii (Daubenton's bat)
Lineage: Eukaryota; Metazoa; Chordata; Mammalia; Chiroptera; Vespertilionidae
Gene: PAK3
Exons: 3
Source: RefSeq, a predicted model, not a curated record
GGCUAUAGCCACGGGGUUGUGGCUCCGCAGCCGCGCUAUCCCGCUAUCUCCAGUGCUCUGAGGUAGAGGAAAGGUCUUGACAGGUUGGCUGGACCAGUGGCAGAAUCCAGUGCCAGACUCUGGACUUGAGGGUUCUGGACUAUGGUCUAUAGAAGUGAAGGAAAGAAGGACUCAAAUCCAGGUCAACUGUAUGGCUGUCUGAGGUGCUGGAACAGAAGAAAGUCCACUCCUAUUGGUGAUAACACUGUGGCCCUGUUCUGAGAUGACCGAUGUAUGAAGGU